RNAcentral lists this unclassified non-coding RNA (233 nucleotides) under uncultured Sclerodermataceae. RNAcentral's name for it is "sequence contains ITS2". The record is from RNAcentral. Lineage: Eukaryota; Fungi; Basidiomycota; Agaricomycetes; Boletales; Sclerodermataceae.
GAAUCCUCAGGUCGACCCUCCGACCCUCGUCGGAGCCUCGGUCUGGACUCGUGGGAGUCUGCGGGCGAAGCGUGUCUUCGUCCGCUCUCCUCAAAAGCAUCGGCCGUGGGCGCCGAGCCUGGCAUGGCACGGCCUCUCCGACGUCGUAGUGAUCGUCGCGGGCUGGAAGUGUACGGCUCGACGCGCCCAUGCUUUGCGAGCCCGUCCCUCGUGGUCGGCCGCGCCCCAUCGAA